CGGCCGCGUCCUCUCUCUCUCUCCCCGACCUCUCUUUCUCGUACACUUUCUCUUCUUCCCUCUGCAAUCACCCGAAAACACCAUUUCCGGCCACCACCUCUAGUCACCGCCACCACCAAUCGACGCAGCUCCUGUAUCCGACCUCAACCCGAGCCCAGCAAGGCCAUGCGUCGUCUCCAGCCUCCACAUGUGACCACCAAACCUGCGACACCAUUGCCAUCCUUACUACUCCGAUCUCUAGUCGCUGAUUCACACCACCGCUAUCAGAAAUUGAAGCACCUAGCUGUAGAGUGCAAACCCGAACCAUAGCCUCAAACUCUGACACCGGAAAAUGCCGUGCAAGCUCGCCGGAACUCGAGGCUCUGCAUGCCUUCGUUCUCCAAUCUCCAGUCCGAAACAAACCAAACCACCACCAUACAUGGAGUCAGCAUCUCUCCCUUGACCAAAACCCCAUAACCCCGAUCUCCGACUUUGACUGGAGCCCCCGCACCGGCUACACGCGUCGCCGCUGGCAUGUGAGCCACCACAGCACUGCCGCUUAUGGAUGCCGG
This 551-nucleotide long non-coding RNA is filed under the name Rosa chinensis. RNAcentral's name for it is "sRNA RchiOBHm_Chr5g0064281". Lineage: Eukaryota; Viridiplantae; Streptophyta; Magnoliopsida; Rosales; Rosaceae. The record is from RNAcentral.